CAAGACGAAGAACCAGCAAACUUCUUUGACUUGCGAAUCCGAGUAGCUCAUCAAAUGGAGAUGCUCAGUUCUGGUCUCAUUUCCUUGCGGCUUCCUUCCCUUUGUUUUGGCAAUUCAACAGAGGUCGUAAUCUGUAUAUUUUUUAGUUAAUUUUGCACCAUCAUUCUUUUGUAACAGAUGAAAAAUUAGUGUUAUUAAGAGGCCUUCCCAUUUAUUGGCAAAUCCAGUUGUCAUUGUUUUUGAUAGAUGACAAUAAAAAAGUCCCUUGUUGCUGUAAUUGCUUUUUGUUUGGACAAACAAAUUUAGUGGGGAAUUUGUUUGGCUAUGGAAGGGG
Molecule: unclassified non-coding RNA, 334 nt
Filed under: Hevea brasiliensis (rubber tree)
Lineage: Eukaryota; Viridiplantae; Streptophyta; Magnoliopsida; Malpighiales; Euphorbiaceae
Source: RNAcentral